RNAcentral lists this ribosomal RNA (557 nucleotides) under uncultured bacterium. RNAcentral describes it as "bacterial SSU rRNA". It matches the Rfam family "Bacterial small subunit ribosomal RNA", at positions 102 to 694 of the family's 1533-position model. The record is from RNAcentral.
ACGGGUGAGUAACGCGUGGGAACGUGCCCUUCGGUUCGGAAUAACUCAGGGAAACUUGAGCUAAUACCGGAUACGUGCGAGAGCAGAAAGGUUUACUGCCGAAGGAUCGGCCCGCGUCUGAUUAGCUAGUUGGUGAGGUUACGGCUCACCAAGGCGACGAUCAGUAGCUGGUCUGAGAGGAUGAUCAGCCACACUGGGACUGAGACACGGCCCAGACUCCUACGGGAGGCAGCAGUGGGGAAUAUUGGACAAUGGGGGCAACCCUGAUCCAGCCAUGCCGCGUGAGUGAUGACGGCCUUAGGGUUGUAAAGCUCUUUUCUCCGGGACGAUAAUGACGGUACCGGAGGAAUAAGCCCCGGCUAACUUCGUGCCAGCAGCCGCGGUAAUACGAAGGGGGCUAGCGUUGCUCGGAAUCACUGGGCGUAAAGGGCGCGUAGGCGGCUGAUUUAGUCGAGGGUGAAAGCCCGUGGCUCAACCACGGAAUGGCCUUCGAUACUGAUUGGCUUGAGACCGGAAGAGGACAGCGGAACUGCGAGUGUAGAGGUGAAAUUCGUAGA